UCAAAACAAAUCUGCAGUUAGGUUAGCCCUGCUGUAGUAUUUAAACCAACUGUGAAUCUAAACCUUUAUGCUUCGGUAGCAGGUGAGUUUUACUGCUCACUUGUCAGCCUACCGGUGGCACCAAACCAAACCUGUUUCUAAACUCAUGUCUGAAAAUUAUCAUUUAUGAAUGAAAAUUA
Molecule: unclassified non-coding RNA, 179 nt
Filed under: uncultured fungus
Lineage: Eukaryota; Fungi
Description: sequence contains ITS1
Source: RNAcentral